UAGGGAAUCUUCCGCAAUGGACGCAAUUCUGACGGAGCAACGCCGCGUGAGUGAAGAAGGUCUUCGGAUCGUAAAGCUCUGUUGUUAGAGAAGAACAGCGCAUAGAGUAACUGUUAUGCGUGUGACGGUAUCUAACCAGAAAGCCACGGCUAACUACGUGCCAGCAGCCGCGGUAAUACGUAGGUGGCGAGCGUUGUCCGGAUUUAUUGGGCGUAAAGGGAGUGUAGGCGGUCUUUUAAGUCUGAUGUGAAAGCCCACGGCUCAACCGUGGAGGGUCAUUGGAAACUGGGAGACUUGAGUGCAGAAGAGGAGAGCGGAAUUCCAUGUGUAGCGGUGAAAUGCGUAGAUAUAUGGAGGAACACCAGUGGCGAAGGCGGCUCUCUGGUCUGUAACUGACGCUGAGGCUCGAAAGCGUGGGGAGCAAACAGGAUUAGAUACCCUGGUAGUCCACGCCGUAAACGAUGAGUGCUAAGUGUUGGAGGGGUUCCACCCUUCAGUGCUGGAGUUAACGCAAUAAGCACUCCGCCUGGGAGUACGGCCGNANGUG
Molecule: ribosomal RNA, 547 nt
Filed under: uncultured bacterium
Lineage: Bacteria
Description: bacterial SSU rRNA
Rfam family: Bacterial small subunit ribosomal RNA
Source: RNAcentral